This 1047-nucleotide ribosomal RNA is filed under the name Perennicordyceps elaphomyceticola. Its description in RNAcentral is "SSU rRNA". It matches the Rfam family "Eukaryotic small subunit ribosomal RNA", at positions 53 to 1113 of the family's 1831-position model. The record is from RNAcentral. Lineage: Eukaryota; Fungi; Ascomycota; Sordariomycetes; Hypocreales; Polycephalomycetaceae.
GCAUGUCUAGUAUAAGCAAUUAUACGGCGAAACUGCGAAUGGCUCAUUAUAUAAGUUAUCGUUUAUUUGAUAGUACCUUACUACUUGGAUAACCGUGGUAAUUCUAGAGCUAAUACAUGCUGAAAAUCCCGACUUCGGAAGGGAUGUAUUUAUUAGAUUAAAAACCAAUGCCCUCCUGGGCUCUCUGGUGAUUCAUGAUAACUUCUCGAAUCGCACGGCCUCGCGCCGGCGAUGGUUCAUUCAAAUUUCUUCCCUAUCAACUUUCGAUGUUUGGGUAGUGGCCAAACAUGGUUGCAACGGGUAACGGAGGGUUAGGGCUCGACCCCGGAGAAGGAGCCUGAGAAACGGCUACUACAUCCAAGGAAGGCAGCAGGCGCGCAAAUUACCCAAUCCCGACACGGGGAGGUAGUGACAAUAAAUACUGAUACAGGGCUCUUUCGGGUCUUGUAAUUGGAAUGAGUACAAUUUAAAUCCCUUAACGAGGAACAAUUGGAGGGCAAGUCUGGUGCCAGCAGCCGCGGUAAUUCCAGCUCCAAUAGCGUAUAUUAAAGUUGUUGUGGUUAAAAAGCUCGUAGUUGAACCUUGGGCCUGGCUGGCCGGUCCGCCUCACCGCGUGUACUGGUCCGGCCGGGCCUUUCCCUCUGUGGAACCCCAUGCCCUUCACUGGGCGUGGCGGGGAAACAGGACGUUUACUUUGAAAAAAUUAGAGUGCUCCAGGCAGGCCUAUGCUCGAAUACAUUAGCAUGGAAUAAUGAAAUAGGACGCGCGGUUCUAUUUUGUUGGUUUCUAGGACCGCCGUAAUGAUUAAUAGGGACAGUCGGGGGCAUCAGUAUUCAAUUGUCAGAGGUGAAAUUCUUGGAUUUAUUGAAGACUAACUACUGCGAAAGCAUUUGCCAAGGAUGUUUUCAUUAAUCAGGAACGAAAGUUAGGGGAUCGAAGACGAUCAGAUACCGUCGUAGUCUUAACCAUAAACUAUGCCGACUAGGGAUCGGACGAUGUUAUUUUUUGACUCGUUCGGCACCUUACGAGAAAUCAAAGUGCUUGGCU